RNAcentral lists this signal recognition particle RNA (272 nucleotides) under Niallia circulans. RNAcentral describes it as "Bacillus circulans signal recognition particle RNA". It matches the Rfam family "Bacterial large signal recognition particle RNA". From Rfam's summary of the family: The signal recognition particle (SRP) is a universally conserved ribonucleoprotein involved in the co-translational targeting of proteins to membranes. Archaeal SRP consists of a 7S RNA and homologues of the eukaryotic SRP19 and SRP54 proteins. The record is from RNAcentral. Lineage: Bacteria; Bacillati; Bacillota; Bacilli; Caryophanales; Bacillaceae.
UUUGCCGUGCUAAGCGGGGGAGGUAGCGGUGCCCUGUACUCGCAAUCCGCUCUAGCGAGGCUGAAUUCCUUUCUGAGGCUGGUAUCCUGUAGGGUCUGCCUUAAGUAAGUGGUGUUGACGUCCGGGUCCUGCGCAAUGGGAAUCCAUGAACCAUGUCAGGUCCGGAAGGAAGCAGCAUUAAGUGGACACCCCCAUGUGCCGCAGGGUUACCUGGACUGAGCUAACUACUUAAGUAACGCUUAUGGGUGCCAGUCGACAGAAGGUGCACGGUA